AGGGGAUUGGACGCUGCCGCAGCAGGGCUCAUCCGGCCCCACCGAGUCAUUAGUCACUCGCCCUCCUCAAUGUCACAGUCUCCCGCCUUCCCCCGAAGCACCCAGGCGCCUCCCUUCCCCCGCACCCGGGUGGGGUUCCCAGGCUCCUCCCCCGAGUUGUCUUGGAGUCCCCGCGCGCCCCCCACCGCUCGGUCCGCGGCUGCCAUGGCAACCGUACGCCGCCGCCACCGCCUCUUCACGCACGUCGGGAACUAACGGACUCCGCGGCGGCGGCUGCGGCGGCGGCGGCGGCGGCCUGUGCCCCACCCCCACCCGGACCGCAUCACCAACAGCCGGCCGACCUGCGGCACCUAGUUCUCUUCAAGAAGAUGAAUUUGGCUGAGAUUUGUGACAAUGCAAAGAAAGGAAGAGAAUUUGCACUUCUUGGAAACUAUGACUCAUCAAUGGUAUAUUACCAGGGGGUGAUACAGCAGAUUCAGAGACAUUGCCAAUCAGUCAGAGACCCGGCUGUCAAAGGCAAAUGGCAACAGGUUCGGCAGGAAUUACUGGAAGAAUAUGAACAAGUUAAAAGUAUUGUCAGCACUUUGGAAAGUUUUAAAAUUGACAAGCCCCCAGAUUUCCCUGUGUCCUGUCAAGAUGAGCCAUUUAGAGAUCCUGCUGUUUGGCCGCCCCCUGUACCUGCAGAACACAGAGCUCCACCUCAGAUAAGGCGUCCCAAUCGAGAAGUAAGACCUCUGAGGAAAGAAAUGCCCGGAGCGGGAGCCCGGGGACCUGUGGGCCGAGCACAUCCUAUAUCGAAGAGUGAAAAACCCUCCACCAGUAGAGACAAGGAUUAUAGAGCAAAAGGAAGAGAGGAUAAGGGAAGGAAGAAUAUGCAAGACGGUGCAAGUGAUGGUGAAAUUCCCAAAUUUGAUGGUGCGGGCUAUGAUAAGGAUCUGGUAGAAACUCUUGAGAGAGACAUCGUAUCCAGGAAUCCUAGCAUUCAUUGGGAUGACAUAGCAGAUUUGGAAGAAGCUAAGAAGUUGCUCAGGGAAGCUGUUGUUCUGCCAAUGUGGAUGCCUGACUUUUUCAAAGGGAUUAGAAGGCCGUGGAAGGGCGUGCUGAUGGUUGGACCCCCCGGCACUGGGAAGACUAUGCUAGCUAAAGCUGUUGCCACCGAAUGUGGCACAACAUUCUUCAAUGUUUCCUCUUCUACAUUGACAUCGAAAUAUAGAGGUGAAUCUGAGAAGUUAGUCCGUCUGUUGUUUGAAAUGGCUAGAUUUUAUGCACCCACCACAAUCUUCAUUGAUGAGAUAGAUUCCAUCUGCAGUCGAAGAGGAACCUCUGAUGAACAUGAGGCAAGUCGCAGAGUCAAGUCUGAACUACUCAUUCAGAUGGAUGGAGUUGGAGGAGCUUUAGAGAAUGAUGAUCCUUCCAAAAUGGUUAUGGUAUUGGCUGCUACUAAUUUCCCAUGGGACAUUGAUGAAGCUUUGAGAAGGAGAUUAGAAAAAAGGAUAUAUAUACCUCUCCCAACAGCAAAAGGAAGAACUGAGCUUCUGAAGAUCAAUCUUCGUGAGGUUGAACUGGAUCCUGACAUUCAGCUGGAAGAUAUAGCAGAAAAGAUUGAGGGCUAUUCUGGUGCUGAUAUAACUAAUGUUUGCAGGGAUGCCUCUUUAAUGGCAAUGAGACGGCGAAUCAAUGGCUUAGGUCCAGAAGAGAUCCGUGCACUUUCUAAAGAGGAACUUCAGAUGCCUGUUACCAAAGGAGACUUUGAAUUGGCUCUUAAGAAAAUUGCUAAGUCUGUCUCUGCUGCAGACUUGGAGAAGUAUGAAAAAUGGAUGGUUGAAUUUGGAUCUGCUUGAAUUUCUGUCAGCUCUUUCAUUUCUGGAGAGGAAACUGAGAUUUAUAAAGUGACUUGCUCUAGUCAUUUGGCCCCUAAGAAGCGGAGGAAGGAAUGGACCUAGGUCAGUUUAGCCCCACAACCUAUUUCUUUGCCAUAGUCCAAGAUUACUUUUAACAGUGUAAAUGCAAAAGUACUCAAUUCUUUUCUUUUUAAAAAAGUUGUAAUGUCUAUUUAUUCUUUGAGAGAGAGAGAGAGAGAGAAUGAGCAGGGGAGGGGCAGAGAGAGAGGGAGACACAGAAUCCAAGGCAGGCUCCAGGCUCCAAGCUGUCAGCACAGAGCCCGAUGUGGGAUUCAAACCCACAAACCGUGAGAUCAUGACCUGAGCUGAAGUCAGAUGCUCAACCGACUGAGCCACCCAGGCACCCCUAAAAGUACUCAAUUCUUGAAAUAAAUGUUACACUCACUCAUUUUUCUGAGGUUAGUAAUCACUGUUACCUUCUGUUUCCUAUGAUGCUUUUUUGCCAGGAGACUUUUAGGCUCUUGUGUUGUGGGAUUAAAGUGAUUUGGAGAAUGUCACUGUUAUUUGCUGUAGGUGUAUAUAAAUAUACACCUUCUUGAUUUUCAGGACAGGCUUUAUUAUACGAACCAGUCGUUCUAAGACGUUCCACAAAUUAUAUUUAGACCACCAACUUAAGCGACAUAAAGCUCCAUCGGUUAUUUUUAUUAAUAAGAUCCCUGACAGUGCUCUGCCCACUGGAUGACAGCUCCAGAGUCAUUAGCUGUGUGUAUGGUCACCGUCGGUUACCAGGAGAGCUGGCCCUGGGGUUGGGGUCUGUAUUUGAAGCACUACCCCGGAGCUGAGUUUACUUCUGAAUGUUCAGGAUGUUUCCAAUUAGCACAUCUUGAAUAGCUUCUUUAGACAAAUAACUAAUCAUGGUAUGACUACUGUAUUACAGAACAUAAAUCUUAAACUAUAGUGUUAGUAAUUAUUAUGUAAUUAGAGAUGAAUGAAUUAAGCCUCGUUUGCAAUUUGUAAAAUACCUCAAGUUAUUUUUCAAACAUUUUGAAACAUGUUUUGUAACAUUUCUCAAAUGUACUUUACCAGGCAUACUUCCUCUAAUUUUCAAGCCCUUGUGUAUUUUAAGGGAAAUUUAAUCCAUAUGUUUCUGAUUCAUUUACACUUAACUCAUCAAAGUUAUUUUUUAAGAACAAUUUGGUUUCCAAGCAGCCUUAGGAACCCUUGUCAUGAAUUCUGUCAGCCUUUAAAAGCCUUUUCCCCAAUCAAAACUUUUUUCCUCCAAAGAUAAAUGUGGAUGAAAUUUCGGUUUACAAUGCAGAGCCCGUAUUUCAAAAUCUAAGCUGGUUCUGAAUUUAGUGUAAUAAGUUGUUCUGCCUUUACUGAAAGAACUGGCUUAAUUUGUUUCUCUUCAAAGCAGGCCUCUGCAAAGAGUUUGUAAUAAAUAACAGUGUGCUUUCUUGAAAACACAGUGCACUGACGUUCUAUACUGCCUUCCCGAAUUCAUAGCACAGGUGACAAAUGUGGGUCGAUCAGACAUGGCAAACAAAAUGAACUGUUUUGGGGGGCCCGUCAUGUAACUGAUGAAUACGUGUACAUAUUCGAAUAUACACGCAUACAUUCAUAAAAUGCUUACAUUCUUAUAGAUUACCUUUUUUGUUUGUUUUUACCUGUACUUAAAAAUUCAAGCAAGACUUUGCUGUAUUCUGGAUUAAAUUAAUAACUGAUCGUGAAAUGACUGUAAUUGUUCUCAUGUCUCUUCAGAAAUGUUCCCCACCUGAGAUUUCGUUCACCGGGUUUGUGUGGCCCAGCAGUCGGGCUGUGAGCACAGCUUUUUGUGUAGUUUUAAUUCAACGGAGUGGGGUGAUUGUAUGAAAUCUUCUUCGGAAAAGUAAGGUCCUUGCAGUGAAGGUGGAAGGCUGACAGCUAAUUGGACAGAAUGUCAUACAGCAGAGUGACUCUGGAAAUGAUUUGCUGAAACACAGCACCAGAGGAAUGGAGGUUGUUCGAGGCAGCUAGAAGCCAUAUUCAGAAAUAUUCACAUUAAAAGAAAGGUACCAUUUUCUUGGGUUCUCAUCAGAGAAUUGCAUGAAACACAUAUUUGCUAAUUGCAAGAAAUCACCUCUUUAGUUCCUGUUUUUGGUGGAAACUAUCAUUUUCUCCCUGAAGUUUUUAAUGUGGGAUAAAAACAUCUUUUUCUGUACUUUUCAGGGCAUACCAAUUUCUUAUAUAUCUUGCCAGUUUGUGCUGUAAAUGAACUCUUAAUAUUUUAUGAAAAAGCAUUAUGAUAGAUGAAUUCCUUUUAAGAAUUAACACCUACUUUUUAAAAAUUCAAACGAAAAUGAGAAACCUCUUGCAUGAGGGGAUAUUUUUACCUUUUACCUUAUAUUUUUCUAUGUGAUAAUUACUUAGAAAGGAAAUAUGCUUACACAUAAAGCAAUAUGUAUAGAAAUCAAGUUGGUCAGUGCUUGUGUUUCUGUCUCCCAAAAGCCUUUGGCCUAGAAGUCAGUCAUGAUUCCAUCUCAUUUCAUACGACUCCUAGGACAGGACUGUGCGGGCCAUUGUCACUGGUGACCUGGGACAAUGUUCUGCAAAUUUCUUUGAUGAUGCCUCUCCAUCAAGAAGUGAUUUCAGAUUCUGGGUAGAAUCCCUGCCUGAAGGAACUUGACCUGCUAGAGAAAGCCCUGAAACAAACCAUCACAGAAUUCUAUGCACCGAUGACAGUAUGUGGCCGAGAAGUGGUGUGGAGGAGGAAAAGGACAAAGAAGGCUUCACAGAGGAGGUGAUGUCAGCCAUGUUUUGAAGCAUGAAGAGGAGUUCGGCAGGUGGCGAGGGAAGGAAUGCUAAUCCAGGUAGAGGCAAAACCGUCCUGAGGAACACUGACCCGAAGAAACACGUUCGCUGCAGGGUAAUGGCGAAGCUUGGAUUUGAAAUCAGCUGCUCAGCAGAAAAUCUAGAGCAAAAGAACCGGGUGUCUCGUCUAUGGACAUGGCCUGAAUAAACACAAAUCUCCUUGAUUUUUGUGUGGCUCCAAAUCACCUUCUUGUGAUUCCUGGUUGUUGACAAACUGCGUUGCCUGCUUUCUCUAGCGGGAUGGCGGCUGGCCCGGGCCACGGCGGGCCACGGCGGGCCACGGCGGGCCACAGAGGCACAAGCAACAGUGUUCCCCUCGGUGGUUUGAUUUUUACGUGCCGCGGGUGACGAGACAGCUCUGCGGCCCCAGUGUCUUCCCAGUGCUACGAAAUCCCCCCUUGUGUUUCCAGGUGCACGUGCGGUCCGUUAGUCCAUCUUGGAAUCGUCUACGGGACAGAACUUUGUUCCAAGCAUGAACCAAGCCUACUUCGUAAAUCAAAAGGCGCUCCUUAAUUCGCAGUUGUAUAUUAAAUUCGCACGUUUCAGAUUGAAAUUCGCACACAAUCUCUUUUGCAUUACUCACCCUUAAUAGUAAUUUCUUCUGGCUAUUGCCCUCAGGCUGUACAGGAAUGAAAAAAAUAGAUUUGAACUCUUUAUUUUGACGAUGUUCACAGAUUGUAAAUCUAAUUAGUUCUCUGACUUCCCCCCCCCCCCCCUCUUAAAGGAACACACAUUACCUUCUGAACAAAGUCUGCUAAGUCGGGACAGGUUUGCCUGAUAACCAUAUUCAUUUUCCCUAAAUUAUCUUAUCAGUUCAUUUGGAAAAUUCAUCUGUCUGUCUGCCCUAAUUUGCUGCAUCCGGUUGAUGUGUGCCCCUAAUAGAUAGGAUAUCCACCUGUGAGAUGGUGAGGAAAAUCCUGUCCAGGUUAGAUAAUGCUUUAAGAUUGACCUAUUUCAGAGUUGGAAGGGACCUUUCUUUCAGAUCACCGAAUGCAGUGUUUCUCAUCCUGGCCUAGAGGAUCUGUUUGUUCUUUGAGGAAUUUCUAAAUCCCGUGUUUUCAUUAGGUGAACAACCACAAGAAAAAUAAGCACAGACCUCUCUGAAUGGGGGACUGCCACGAGAUUUCAGGGGUUACGUGACUUGGCUCCGGGGAGAGGGUCAAGGCUUCCUGCGGGCCUAAGGGAAUUUAGAUACAUGGUGAAUUGAGGGCACAGCCAUGAUGGCAACGUCACGCCCACCCCCAAAUUCUUGCGGGAGGCAGCCGGUGUUACAUAUUUGAAUAGUUGUGUAUUUCUGGCGUCCAUGGUGGUAUCUAAAUUAUAAAGCUGCUGCAGCCAGGAGCAUCCAUUCUAAGAGCACAGGGUAGCCGAGCAGUCCUGGUCAUUCUUCGGGUAUUUAUCACACAUGGCCCAGUGUUGGGUGCUGGACGGGUCAGCUUUCUGUGGGUAAGACUGAGAUAACGAAGCCACCCCAACACUUUGGUGGCUCGUAAUAGCAAAGGUGUGUUUCUUAUUCCCAUAGAUAUGUCGCCGGCAGCUCUUUGGUUGCGAUCCUACAUCGUCUCAUUUGGAGAUCCGUGAUGCCUUCAGUAGACACCCCCCCCCCCCCGCCAUCCUCAUGACCUAGGGAAAAGAGCAAGAGGGCUCAGAAGCACUCAAAAACUCUUAAAAAUCAGAUGGCACAUAUAUCAUUUCUGCUGUGUUCAGUGGCCAAGCCAGGCCACGUGGACGAACCUGUUGUCCAUGAAACAGGGAAAUAUUAUUCUCUCUGCAAGGUGUCGCACGGCAAGGGUAGAGAUGUAUGAGCCUCUUCCAGGGAGGGGGUUGGACGACUGGGGACAACAAUCUACUGCAGGUGACCAUCCACCCACGCACCUCACAGCCCCUUGUCGUGCUGGGUGACGGGACUGCCCAGCUGGCUUCCUGUCUGUCUUUUGUUUUCAUUUUUUCUUCUUUGGAAGUUUUCGACCUGGGAAGCCAGACCGCUCUCGGGCCGAGUGGAUGUUUAGAGACCUUGCCUCGUGCCAUUAUUUUCCCCCGUAGAGGAACUGAGGUGAUGUGCCCAAGAUCACACAGCAAGACGCUUGGCUACGCUGCUUACUCUCUUCCCAACAUCCACUUGUGAAAGUGUUAGACAGGAAUUGUUGCUUUGCUAACUGUAAAAGAAAAACACCUCGAUUGUUCCUGAAAUCAUACCCCAUCUGAGAGACAGAGAAGUGAAACAGGACCCGAGUGGUCCAUCUCGGAAUGAAAACCGGCUCAGUUUUCUAUCCCAUUUUCUUUCCAGCCACCUUUGUGUGGGAGGCAACCUAUUUAAAUGUAUUAUAGAGCAUCAACAGAGCGCCAGGAGCUGUUCAGUGCUCUAGUAAAGUCCCAGUUCCUGCCAAGGCAGAUCGUGUCUCUGUUUUAUAAAUAGUCUGCGCCCGGUGCCGAUUUGAUUUAAAAUAAAACCUGCAGGUAGUACUCCGCAUGCUUCCUUCGGGUCCUUGUGUGUGGGGGGGGGGGGGGGGGGGGAGACACUAGGUGGGUGAGUCCAGGGCCGGAGACGGCAAACAGGGGGCGAGCUGGGCAGUGGCUUCUGGGGAGACCAAAGGGCUUAUUUGGUGAGAGGCUCACCAACGGCCUCUGGGCCCCAGUGAGCCUCUGACAUACAGCGAGUCUGCUUCCCUCCGGGGGAAGCUUGCAGGCAGGCCCCCUAGGGGUGCAGGACUGGACACAUCUUGGGCAACAGUUCUAACAUCUCUAAAACAGUUGGGAGUUGUCUGCCCUCGUCAGUGCCUUCGACAACACAGGUCACAAUCGCAGGGGAUGUCUUCAGCAAGGUUGGGGUGAAAUGGCACACAGGGUGGAAAGAACACACCCAGCUUCCGCCUUUCGCCCCGGGCAGCGAAAGAGAGGAGGAGGAAAGGACUCUUUGAAAAGGAGUUCAUUGAAAACUGCUUUGGCCUCUGGAGACUGGGGGCAAGAUGGAUCCGACGAGAUUUUGAAAAGGCCCAUUUCUGUUCUUUCUCUUCCUUUCACCUCCCAAAACAUUUUAUCGCUGUGAAUCAAGUGCCUGGUUCUCUGGGGUUUUCUAAAACCUCCUGUUUUGACAUCCCACUCAGCCUGCUCCACAUGGAGUCAAAACAAUCUCCCCAUUCACUGUGCCAGUCAGAGUACCCUUUCCCUAGGUGGUGGGUGUUAGGAAAGCAAUCUGACUAAAUUUUAUUAUGAUGCACUUGACAUUGUGAUGCUUUGUGUAUUCCACUUCUUCAGCUUGCUUUCCCCAAUUUUUCCUCUCUCUUUGGCUAUAAUUUUGAAUUCCCCCUACGUAUAAAAUACAUAUCCAUCAAGGUUCUAGAUAAUCAAUUAGGGCGAUUUUCAGAACCACUCGGGGGAGCUUUUAAAAAUACACAUGCCUACGCAUCCAGGAUCUUGAGAUCCUGAUUUUGUGGGCUUCGGAGUGAUCUAGGUGUCUGAAUUUUUAAAAAGCUUCCUGGAUGGGGUGCCUGGGUGGCUCAGUUUGUUAAGCGUCCCGCUUCAGCUCAGGUCAUGAGCUCAGGGUUCGCGAGUUCCAGCCCCGUGUCGGACUCUGUGCUGACAGCUCAGAGCCUGGAGCCUGCUUCCGAUUCUGUGUCUCCCUCUCUCUCUAUGCCCCUUUCCCGCUCACUCCCUGUCUCUCAAAAAUAAGCAAACAUUGAAAAAAAAAGUUUUUUUUAAGCUUCCCGGAUGAUUUUUAAUCGAAUCAUCUAAUUCUUUGCUUCCCUAGUAAAGAAUUCUUGCGUAGGAAAGCACUUUUCUCUUGUUGCUUGCCAUUCUUGGUGAGGGGGGGUGGGGCGGGGGGCGGGAACUAUCUUUCACCUUAUAUCUCAACAGCUCUUCUAGAAUCAGCUUUGAUUGAUUUUAGUUGAUUUUGAUUUUUAAAGUUCGUCAGUUUCUUUUAGAAGAACCCAACAGAUAUUCUUAGAGUCUAUUCUUCCUGCCCAGAUUCCCAGCUCGUAAAUUUGGCCACGUCCAGGGAUUGGAACACUUAACAGUGCUUGGAAUUGCUUGAUUUAAAGAAGGGCAGAACCCACUCUUACACAUGAUUUUAUUAGGUGGUCCUAAUUUCCUCCCCCUUAUCCCUUCUUCCUUUUCUUAGGACCUCUCUUUACCUACCUCUCACCUCCAAGGGUUUUUUUUUUUACUGUGUCAGAAAGUUUUUUCAAUUGUUGUGUCUUACCAUUCCCUUUUCAUGACCACUCAGCACAAUCAUGGCUGUGCGUCUCAUUAAAAUGUAUUAGGUUUGCUGUGUUGUUUUAUUUAAUGGUAACACUGAGCCCUGUUUGUAUGUUGCUCUGAUACCAUGCCUGUCUACUCAAAAAUUAAUAAAACAAAAUGGGACAGUUGUCUGGUAACAUUUCAUUUGUGUUUGACUGACAGUUUGGCAUCAUUGCAACAGAACCCAAGUGUAAACAACAGGCCUGAGUUCACCAGGCUGGCUAGAGCCAGAUAGUUGGGUAUUCUCAUCUUUCAUUUGGAAUUUUAAAGCCAUUGCAGUCUGUCCAACUUUCUACCAAGGUGGAGGUGCGUGUGCGUGGGCCUCUGUGGGGGGAAGAAGGAUCUUUGCUGAGACGUUUGGCAAGGUCUCUAAGUGAUGUCCUUGUGGACAAGGUAGAGAAAUGCAACCCGAAUGAUGGUUACCUGGGUUCUUGGCUAAUAGAACGGCCAUAUCAAAGGGCAUUAAUUAGUAGAUUUGUGCUGGGCUGGAAAGAAGGCUUAAUACCAGGCUACAGGACCUCGUACAUGGAGACCUCGGUCUCCAAGUAGUUUCGUAGAAGGUAAAGAUGCAGAUAUCAAACUUCUAGAUGGCCCAAAGCUGGGAGGGACAGAUUUAAUGUGAAGGUUAUUGAAACAACAUUUAAAAAGAGCUCAGCAGGUGGAAGGAAGAGCUAGAAUAAGCAAAAUGAAAUGUAAAGAAAUGAAAUGGGGCAGAAACAGAUACAAAAAGCCUGAGCAAUUGCUUGUUGCACAAGUUAGGGAGACCUAGUAUAAUAGUCCCUGCAUGACAAAGGCCUGUGCCCAUAUGUGUUACCUGAGGGCGUUCUGACUUCCCAGAAGUUUGUCACGAGGCCCCCACAGGACCUCCAGGCUCGUCAGUGGAUCUGGGAUCUCUUGAGGGUCUUGA
This is an RNA transcript of Panthera uncia (snow leopard), 9837 nucleotides long. It is a transcript of the gene named katanin catalytic subunit A1 like 1, with no coding region annotated. The record is from RefSeq and is a predicted model, not a curated record. The transcript has 14 exons. NCBI's taxonomy places the organism in Eukaryota, Metazoa, Chordata, Mammalia, Carnivora, Felidae.